CUCACCCCUGCAUCUUUCUCUUUGCUCGCCAGCGUUCGAAGUGAGAGGACGUGUGUAUCUCUAGUUGGUUAGUGUAGGAAAUGGCUGAUAAUCAAGAAUACGAGAUGAACAACGGUGACUUCUCGCAAGACGUUGGUGGUGAAGAAUACCAAGACGAUCAAAUGAACGGCGAAGGACAGAAUGGAACAGGAGAAAACAACGCCAGCACAGGACCAGGUCGAGAUGACGACAGGAAAUUGUUUGUCGGAGGUUUAAGCUGGGAAACAUCAGAAAAGGAACUCAGAGACCACUUUGGAACUUACGGAGAAAUUGAAAAUGUAAAUGUCAAGACAGACCCCAACACAGGAAGGUCGAGAGGUUUCGCCUUCAUUGUUUUCAAAGCUGCUGAAGCCAUCGACAAGGUUUUGGCUGCAUCAGACCACAUCAUAAACAACAAAAAAAUUGACCCCAAAAAAGCUAAAGCUAGGCAUGGAAAAAUCUUUGUUGGUGGUUUAUCGACAGAACUUUCUGAUGAUGACAUCAAGAACUACUUCUCCCAGUACGGAAAUAUUGUGGAAGUGGAAAUGCCAUAUGACAAGACAAAAAAUCAGAGGAAAGGAUUUUGUUUCAUCACAUUCGACUCUGAACAAGUUGUGUCAGAACUGUUGAAGACACCCAAACAGUCAAUCAAUGGCAAAGAGGUGGAUGUGAAGCGUGCCACACCUAAAGCUGAUGGUAUGGGAGGCAUGAGAGGUGGUCGAGGCGGCCGUGGAGGCAGGGGCCGAGGCAGAGGAGGAUAUGGAGGUGGUUAUGAUGGCUAUGGUGGUGGAUAUGGCGGCUACGGAAACUAUGGAGGAGGUUAUGGCGGAUAUGACUACUCUGGAUAUGGGGGCUAUGGUGGAUAUGGUGAUGGAUAUGGCGGGUAUGGACAGUCUUAUGAUCCUGGCUACGGUGCACCCGCUCCCAGAGGUGGCAGGGGAAAAGCAGCAGGGUACGGGGGCGGCAAGCAGCGUGGAGGUGGUAGGGGUCAACGCCACACGCCCUACUAGAUCCUCACCUCAUCUGCUCUCUACUUUACCUCAUUGUCAUUUUGUAUGUCUGGUAAAAGUACGUGUUGAUGAUACCGCCUUCAUUAUAAAAGCCACGUUGGAUCAUUCCAUUCUAUUCAGUGAUGUGGUUAAAGUCCUCAACAAAGUGACUGCACUUAAAGUGCUUGUGAUUAUAUUUGUGUAUUUAUAUUUUUAUGUACAAUUUAACAUUACUUGUUUGUAAUUUUUCUUUAGUUAAUAGUUUUGUGGAUGAAUAUU
RNAcentral lists this unclassified non-coding RNA (1286 nucleotides) under Homalodisca vitripennis (glassy-winged sharpshooter). Its description in RNAcentral is "rNA-binding protein squid, transcript variant X6". The record is from RNAcentral. Lineage: Eukaryota; Metazoa; Arthropoda; Insecta; Hemiptera; Cicadellidae.